This 250-nucleotide ribosomal RNA is filed under the name uncultured bacterium. RNAcentral's name for it is "partial 16S ribosomal RNA". It matches the Rfam family "Bacterial small subunit ribosomal RNA", at positions 524 to 773 of the family's 1533-position model. The record is from RNAcentral.
UACGGAGGUUGCAAGCGUUGUUCGGAAUGACUGGGCGUAAAGGGAGCGCAGGCGGUUCGUUAAGUCUGGAGUGAAAGCCCGGGGCUCAACCCCGGAGGGUCUUCGGAUACUGACGAACUCGAGUACGGAAGAGGAGAGUGGAAUUCCAGGUGUAGCGGUGAAAUGCGUAGAUAUCUGGAGGAACACCGGUGGCGAAAGCGGCUCUCUGGUCCGAUACUGACGCUCAGGCUCGAAAGCGUGGGGAGCAAAC